AAAUAUUAGCCUUAAGUGCAGUGCAAAGACAAACAGCAGCUUCCAAAUCCACAAGAUUUCCAAUAAGACUACAACAUGGUUUUACAGGUGGAGUUCCAAGUGUUACAUUUAAUAAACCAUUAAGCACAUUAGCACAAAUACCUAAUUUUAAGGCAUCUUUUGGGCAUUUGGUUUGAGAAUUAGGAGAUGGACUUGGUGUUGGUGUUGGCUUUGGAUUUGGUUUAAUUGGGCCAGGGCAAGUGUAGCAUGCACUAACCAUAGUGAAAAAAAGAACAUUGAAUACAAGAAAAAGGGCAAGUGACUUAGCCAUUUUGCAAUUGAUUUAAUUUGCUAUUUAGAGGAAUGAUGAAGAAUGUAUUAAUAUGGUUGGAUUUUUAUAGGGUUCAUGUAUAAGGAAAGGAGAUUAAAAUAAUAGCAAGAAAAACAUUUUUUUAACCAUGUGUAAGUCAGGAAUUUAACCAACAUGGAUUGUAAUGGAACGAUUGAAAUUCCUUCACUAGAAGUGGAUGUAACACUUUGUUAUCGGAUUCAUCUAUCUAUCUGAAUCCAAUACUUUUGAUUGUGAUGUAAAUGAUUUAUGAGUAAAGAUUAAUGAAUUUUUUAAUAAAUAGUAAAUAUGAACUGAUAUAAUGAGUUCAAAUUAAAGAUAAAAACUUUAAAUGCUGAACCAACAAAACUUUUAUCCUGGAUGCGUCAGCUCCAUCCUUAUUUAGAGAUCUUAGGUUCGAGUCUCAGAAAAUGCAAUAUCGGUACCCCGGGGCAACCUUCCCUCAUUCACUCAAUCCAACUCAAUGCACAAACUCAAAUUUAGUCAUGCCCCAAUACAAAUAUCAAAUACCAGCGGGAACCAAAACAAAAAAAGGUCAGGAAUUUAGGCUGGCUAAGAAUUAGUGUAGCAUAUUUUUGUACAUCUUGGAAGCAUCAAGGCACAUGUGAAGAAGGAAAACAAGUUGCCAUGUUCCUCUUGCUGAGUUCCAAAAUCUAGGAAUUUUAUUUGUUUUUUUUUCUAGCCCGUGAUUUUUGCCCAGAAUGCCAUGGUACUUGAUUAGUGUCUUUUUAUUUUUUAUUUUUAGUGUUAAUGAUUUAUUUUAUGUACUUUUUAAAAAACUAAAAAUAAAAAAUGGGCGAAGGAUGGAAGAGGAGAUUACAAGAUAGGGAAUAGAAUGCUCACUAACGUGUCUUUUAACAUGUUUUAGUAGGUAACUUACCUUAAUUUCCUAGUUAAUAAUUUAUCUCAUUUGAUAAAAAAAUAUUUAUGCAGGAUGUUUAUAUCAAAUUAAUAGAUAUAUGUCAUAUGUUUGUAUAUAUUUUUAAUAAAUAAAUAUUAUCUCAUUCAAUUACUUAACUAUGAUAAAUUGAUACUAUUUGGUGUAAACAACCGAUGGAUAAGUUUUUACUAUCUCUUUUUACCGACGGUUACAUAUAAAAUUAUCCAAGUGAUCUAAUAACGUAAAACCAUUUACACUAAUAAAGUAUAUGAACUAUACUCAAUUAGUAAUAUGCUUUGAAAAUAUUGGGCAUCUAAUUUUUUCUUUUUAAUAACCCCAAAAAUUCAUGCAAAAAAAAGAAGAAACUUGAUGCUAAAUUUCAGAUACGAUUAUUAUUUGUAUAAAUUUUAGGAAUCACAUAGUUUUAAUAUGAAAUUACAAUAUGUCCCUAUUUAGUUUGUAAUUAUAUUAAUUCCUGAAAAAGUAAAACAAACCGGAUACAUAAUAUGUAGCUCGGAUACAUUAAAAACUAGCUCGGAUACAUGAUAAAAUAAAUCGAAUACAUAAUAUGUAGCUCGGAUACAUUAUAAAAUAAUUUAGAAUUGGGAAAGAAAUAAGAGAUUUUAGAGGUUUUUAGAAAUAGAAGGAAAUAUUAGAAAUAAGGGAAACAUAAGAUGUGUAUUUCAGUAAUUUUUCCAGUUACAAUCAAAAAGGCAUGACAUUAAUUUAAAUGGCUAAACUUGGAACAUUUUAUACAUGCGGCUAUGUCUUAAAUGAAGACCCUAAAAUUGGCCCAUGAAAAAUAGUCCAGUAAGCCCAAAAGCAAGUAAAAACAAGUUUGGGCUGGGAAAUGAGUCAAGGGCAACUUACCUAAAAUACAUCAUAUAUAGAAAAUAUUUAUCAUUUAUAGCUAUUUAAUUUUAAUACAUGUAUAAUUCACUUUUAAUAUAUAGUGUAGAUUUUAAAAAUAGCUUUAAAAUCUGUUGUGAUUUUAUCAUUAAAGAGCUCGAACCUAAUAUGAUAUCUUGAUAAUCCGUCAAUAAAUAAAAUUAUCAUAUUUUUUUAUUGUUUAGUAGUAUAAUUUAUCCGUAAUUAGUUUUUUUAAAACUAAUAUUAUUAUUAUUAUUAUUAUUAUUAUUAUUAUCUCUAGAUCUUGUCUAGACCAAAAGAUUAAGGAAAUUAAAAUAAAAAAUGGAUAGAGAAGAAUGGGAGCUGUCCUGUCACAAUUGGUUGAAUUUCUAGGCAGCUAUUGCGCAGUUUAUGCAUAAAACAACAAAACAAACAAAUAAAUAGCAUAGUGGAUCAAGUUGUUUUCAUUAAAUUUUCAAAAUUUAAGUACAAUUUAUUUUUAUUUUCCAAACCAUGAUAGUUUACUUUGAAUAAAUGAACUAAAUACAAAAAAAAGUGUCUAUUCCUGUCACUAUUAGAAAAGUCCUUAUUAUAUGAGGAUUUUAUUUUAGGAACUAUCUCCAAAAUUUUAAUCUAAAAUUCGUACAUUCUAGAAUAUGUAAUAGUUCAAGGCCGACAUGUUUUUUCAAACCCGGACGAGCAACUAUGUAGUUUACUUUCAAUAUAUGAACACUCAUCAAUAGAUAUGUUGUAGCGGGUGAAACUGAAUCUCUAUUAAUUAGAGCCUUGAAUAUGAAAGAUAUUGAAUAUCGAAUAAAAACACGAAUAAGUGUUAAAGGAUAUAUGUUCCUAUGAUUAUGAAUCGCCAAAUAAAAAGUUAAGGUUGAAAAUAUUUAAAUAAUAUACUUAUCCAAUCAUAACUUUGCAUUUGCAUCUUUGACGAUAAAUUGUCAAUAUUUUCGGUGAUUUUUUCAAAUUUUUUUGCCACGAUCUAUCAAUACCACACAUAUUAUAGUGUGUGCUAAAAACAGAUAUAAAAUUAAUUGAGAACCUUAAUUAAUAUCAGUAUUCACACUUUGACCCAAAAGAAUAAUAUUAUUGUUCUUCCUAGUAAUUUUCUUUUUCCAUAUUGUGCUUCUAAUAUUGACUUCACACAUAUAUUGAUGAAAAACUUGAACAUAUAUAGGCCACACAAUCUCCUCUACAAAAGAGAAAAGUGAUGACAUUAGACUAUCUAGUUAUUCUGUCUCAAAAUAAUUAUCAUAUUUUAAAGUUGCAUUAGAUCAAAUUAUAUAAAAAAAUACUACAAGUUGCAAUUCAAUUCAUUUCAUUUCAUUAUGAUGAUGAAAAUAUAUUUUUUGUAGUAUUGAUGAAGGUUCAUAUAAUUUGAUUCUCAAAAAAUAAAAUAUGACAAGUAUUUUAGGACGAAAAAGUAUUCAACUAGUUGCACAAAUUAAAUAAGUUAAUUUUUUUUUUAUGAAAACAACAUUUUAGAUUAUUUAUAUUUUCCCAUAAAAUGGAAUGAAUGCAUUGACUUGAAAUGGUGAGCCCUAAUUAAUGAGAUAUAGUUUUGAAUUUUGUGUACCUUAACGAUGGAGCACGAUGAGAAGUGUCUCAUUAUUUCAGAAUGCCUUCUUCAAUUGCUCGAAAUUAAUAACGGAUUUAGAACUUAAAAUUAAUAAUUUUUUAUAAUAAUUUUAAAUUAAUAUAUAGUAAUAACUAAAUCAACCAUAAUAUGCAAAAAUAAAAUAAUAUUAUAUUGUUAUCAUAGAAUGGUGUACCACGUUACUAGGGUCAUCUCAACAAGUUUGGGGGCCUAAAGCCAAACAUUAUAAAGAGACCCUAUUUUUUUAAGUUGAUAAAUAUAAAUUGAAUAAUUAUAAUAUACUAGUGUAAUCCUACGCCUUCUAAGUCGAACAUGUUGCAUAGGGCUUGCCUAGUGCGUUUUACAUCCCCGGUGUGGUUUGCAAGCUAUGACAUAGUGGGGGGUUUACCCAGUGCGCACAAAGUGUUCACCACAGAGUGUUCACCCGAAUGACAGAGGUUGUGGCAGAGGUUGUAGCGACUGCGGGUUGUCCUAGGUUCCAAAAGAAAAAAGUUGGAAUAAUAAAACAUGACUCAAAAAUUUAAAAAUAUGAUGAUAUUAAAAUAGUGUAAGCGAUGAAUUUGAUAAGUAAAUAAAUAAUAUUAAAAUAGUGUUGAUUAGUUUUAGUGCUUGAAAUUUGAAUAAGACACAAAAACAAAUUUGAUCUUCUUAUAAACACACAACAAUAGAUAUCACAUAAUGUAGAAUGUUUGAACGUUUGAGAGACUUAAGAAUAUUCAAUAAUGAAAAAAUAAAAAAUAGUGAAAGGAGAAUAAAGAAAAGUAAGUAUAAGAACACAAUACUGUUGAUUCAUGAUAAUCGUCAAAAUAUAAACGAGCUAGACAACAAAAUAGAUAGCCACAUGCGAAACUAGAAAGGAUACUAUAAUUAACUAGCCACAUAAGAAUCUAGAAAAGACACUACAAUCAACUAAACAAUAUUCAAUUUCUCAAUUAAUAUUUUCUAUACAAAAAAAUAUUUUCAAAUUUAUCAAUACAUGAUUUUUUUUAACUAUAUAUAUAUAUAUAUAUAUAUAUACAUACAUCUUUGAGAGAAAAUGGGGGCCCAAGCGAUUGCUUUAGUGACCUUAUGGUUGAGACGACCUGCACGUUACCAUCUAUAUUACUUUAUUAAUCACGUUAUUAACUCGAGCAUAAAAUAUUGAUCACAGGACCCCUGAUGAUAGCACUUGUUACUAAGGCUAAUUUCUCAUUAGCACAUUAUUAAUAUGUGAAAUCACGGCUUAAUUUUUCCUAAUUUUAAUUAUUUAUUAUGCAUGCAUGUCAUUCUCUACCAUAUAUCAUCCUGCUCUAGAGCCAUAAUUACUGUCUUUUAGUGUUAGGUAACUAAGUUUAAUUUGCAUAUAAGAACAUAUGUAGUUAUGUUAAAAAGAUUAAUUUAAAUUAUAUAAAAUGACAACAUGAAAUAUAAAACUUUUAUACUAUUAAUAUAAUUUACUGUUUUGACCGUUCAUUAUUUAUCAUAUCUUGCAUGUUGUAACAAUAUUUGUUACAAAAAUAUACUUGUAAGAAUUAAUCUUGAUGGGAUCCAGGUUUUGGCACAGGUCCAACAUAUUCAAGAACAACGUUCAAAUAAUUUAAGUCCCAUGCAUGUGGAAAUAAAGGAUAAAUAAUUUAUUUUUGAGGAAGAAGAUCAUAUGAUAUUAGACAACUAAUAAAAUCCACCAAAAUAAAGAUUUAUAAUUCAAGAAUAGUAGUAUCUCAAGUUGCAUUUGCCAGCUCCUUGUCUACACAAUAUUCUCUACAUAUCCACAUGGGACUUUCUCAAUUUUUUGAAAAAUGGAAAAAUAAAAUUAAAAAAAAAUCAGAAUUUCCAUCUAUAAAUAGCCACUCAUUUCAUAAUCUCAAACACCAAACAAACAACAUUUUCACUACUAAUUAACCACAUUAAAUUGUUGAGAGUGCUAAUUUCUUAACUUUUAAAAAUGUCUAAGUUUGGUGCAUACUCAAUUGCCCUUGUUCUCACAUUGAACAUUCUUUUUUCACUAUGGUUAGUUCCACUAAUGUCCCAUGCCCACCACCCCCACACCCCAAACCCCACUACCCUACCCCCACACCCUCUACCCCCUCCACCCCAUCCUCAAAGGGUAAGUGCCCAAAGGACACACUAAAGCUAAAUGCUUGUGCCAAUUUGUUGGGCGACUUAUUGCACCUUGUUAUAGGAAGUAGUCCAGCUAAGACUGAAUGUUGCUCUCUAAUUGAAGGACUUGUUGACCUUGAUGCUGCUGUUUGCCUUUGCACUGCUCUUAAAGCCAAUGUGUUGGGAAUUAAUCUAAAUAUUCCACUUUCACUCAGCCUGUUGCUCAACAAUUGUGGCAAAUAUGCACCCAAGAACUUCCAAUGCAAAUAAGAAGCCAAAUUUCCAAUUCAUAUAGUUUAAUUUCUUUCAGUGUGUUUGAUGUUGUGUAUGCUUAUACUAGUUAUUUAGAAGGGAGGCUAUAGUUAUUGCCUUCUUUUCAUGAAAGAAAUGUGAUCAUCUUUUGAAGUUUAUGUUAAAAUGUUUUGAUAUUAUAAGGACAUGGAGUAUACUAUUGAUGGGCUAAAAUUUCUUCUAUGCAUGUUGCUUUUUAUUAUAUUAUACUAUGAUCAAGACAUUUAAAUCUCUAUAUAACUCCAUAUUUUAAUAUAAAAUAUAAAUGCCCAAGAUGCUAUUAAUUCUCUAAAGUCUAAAGCAACUAAAUUUAAUGAGGUACUCCCGGGACUAAAUAUAAAUUGAUCUGAAAUCUACUUCAAAUCCAAUAGUGUACUUAUAAGUACAUAAAAAUAUAUUGAAUCAAUUCUUUUUAAUGAAUAGAUCCUAUUAAUUAGAAUUAUAAAUAUGUAAUUAAAAGUAUUUAAGUAGAAAAGAUACUAUGAAUCAUAAAACUAUAAUGAAAUAUAUUAUUAACCCAUACUUUGGAUUUGUAAAAGAGUCGAUGUAAGACAUUCUACACUACAUAAGAAUGUCAAAACACAUACAGAGAGAGCAAAAUCGCAGCAUAAAAUUUGUCCAAGUUGCUUUUCUUUUUGACACUUUUCGUUUCUGAGAGUUAAUUUGAUUAAACUUUGAAGUUAAAUUGGAUUAGAAUAACUAAAAAAAUUUAAAUUUAAAUUAUAGAUAUUCAAAAAUAUAUAAAAGAAAAAAAAUUGUAUUUGUUCCUAUAUCAAUAUGAUGAAUCGAAAAAAGUUCAUAAGCCUUUUUUUAAAAUAAAAAAUUCUGGGAAGGGGAGUUAAGGGAAAAUGUGGAGAGAAUUAUAAAAGGAAGCUGACUGUCACCAAUAAAGUAAGAGUUAAGUAGUCAACCAAUCGAACUACUAAGAGAAUUAUAAAGGGGGUUUAUUUGGCAGAAAGUUAUACUCACCAAUCAUCUCCCUCUGUCCCUAAUUACUUGUCCUAUUUUUUUUUUUAGUUGUCUCUAAUUACUUGUCCUAUUUUUUUUUUUAGUUGUCUCUAAUUACUUGUCCAUUUUUUUUUUAGUUGUCUCUAAUUACUUGUCCAUUUUGACAAAUCAAGAAAAGACAAUUUCUUUUUACCUAUUACCUGAAUUAAUUACUUUGAAAAAGGUAGAACUUCUUGAAAAUCUUAAGUUUUUAAUUCAUGCACUUCAUAAUUAAUAGGGGUAAAAUGAUAAACUCACUAUGUCAAUAAAUGUUUUCUUAAUAGGUGUGUCAAUUCAAAAGUGGACAUGUAAUUAGGGACAGAGAAAGUACCUUUUAAGUAUAUAUAGUAGAUAUUACACCUCUUUGGCUUCUUUAUGUAUCUAGUUUUUCAUAUUUUGAAUCUUUUAAUGAAAAUUCUGACACUGUCACUAGUAGAGAGGGAUACAAACUGAAAGUGAUAAUAAGAAAUUUAUUAUUUAUUUCCAAAGGGCACACAAAGAGGUGUCAUUCCAACAAUGAGCAAUCCAAAACAAAUCACAACCUUGCACCUAACAAGAUGUUUAGUGCAUAAACAAAUAGAACAUCAGAAAUUGCUAAACAAAUGAAUAUCAAAAACACAAAAGGCAGAGAACCAUUUAAGCACAAAUGAAUCCCUUUGGAACAUCCUUGCUACAAACAUUAAGAAGUAAGCUAAGUGAAAUAGGGAUAUUAAGGUUAAUCCCCAAAAUAUUAGCCUUAAGUGCAGUGCAAAGACAAACAGCAGCUUCCAAAUCCACAAGAUUUCCAAUAAGACUACAACAUGGUUUCACAGGUGGAGUUCCAAGUGUUACAUUUAACAAACCACUAAGCACAUUAGCACAAACACCUAAUUUCAAGGCAUCUUUUGGGCAUUUGCCUUCUUUUGAAUAAGGAGGAGGGGGGCAUGGCUU
This 7950-nucleotide long non-coding RNA is filed under the name Solanum tuberosum (potato). RNAcentral describes it as "long non-coding RNA (STUB_LNC008571)". The record is from RNAcentral. Lineage: Eukaryota; Viridiplantae; Streptophyta; Magnoliopsida; Solanales; Solanaceae.